AGAAGGGAGCUUGCUCCCGGAUGUUAGCGGCGGACGGGUGAGUAACACGUGGGUAACCUGCCUGUAAGACUGGGAUAACUCCGGGAAACCGGAGCUAAUACCGGAUAGUUCCUUGAACCGCAUGGUUCAAGGAUGAAAGACGGUUUCGGCUGUCACUUACAGAUGGACCCGCGGCGCAUUAGCUAGUUGGUGGGGUAAUGGCUCACCAAGGCGACGAUGCGUAGCCGACCUGAGAGGGUGAUCGGCCACACUGGGACUGAGACACGGCCCAGACUCCUACGGGAGGCAGCAGUAGGGAAUCUUCCGCAAUGGACGAAAGUCUGACGGAGCAACGCCGCGUGAGUGAUGAAGGUUUUCGGAUCGUAAAGCUCUGUUGUUAGGGAAGAACAAGUGCGAGAGUAACUGCUCGCACCUUGACGGUACCUAACCAGAAAGCCACGGCUAACUACGUGCCAGCAGCCGCGGUAAUACGUAGGUGGCAAGCGUUGUCCGGAAUUAUUGGGCGUAAAGGGCUCGCAGGCGGUUUCUUAAGUCUGAUGUGAAAGCCCCCGGCUCAACCGGGGAGGGUCAUUGGAAACUGGGAAACUUGAGUGCAGAAGAGGAGAGUGGAAUUCCACGUGUAGCGGUGAAAUGCGUAGAGAUGUGGAGGAACACCAGUGGCGAAGGCGACUCUCUGGUCUGUAACUGACGCUGAGGAGCGAAAGCGUGGGGAGCGAACAG
RNAcentral lists this ribosomal RNA (720 nucleotides) under Bacillus sp. (in: firmicutes). Its description in RNAcentral is "bacterial SSU rRNA". It matches the Rfam family "Bacterial small subunit ribosomal RNA", at positions 70 to 775 of the family's 1533-position model. The record is from RNAcentral. Lineage: Bacteria; Bacillati; Bacillota; Bacilli; Caryophanales; Bacillaceae.